This 487-nucleotide ribosomal RNA is filed under the name uncultured bacterium. RNAcentral describes it as "partial 16S ribosomal RNA". It matches the Rfam family "Bacterial small subunit ribosomal RNA", at positions 28 to 507 of the family's 1533-position model. The record is from RNAcentral.
GAUGAACGCUAGCGAUAGGCUUAACACAUGCAAGUCGCGGGGCAGCACAAGGUAGCUUGCUAUCUGGGUGGCGACCGGCGCACGGGUGCGUAACGCGUAUGCAACUUGCCCUAUACAGGAGGAUAACCCGUCGAAAGACGGACUAAUACUGCGUAUGCUCACAACUUGGCAUCAAGUGGUGAGGAAAGAAAUUCGGUAUAGGAUAGGCAUGCGUCCCAUUAGCUUGUUGGUGAGGUAACGGCUCACCAAGGCAACGAUGGGUAGGGGAACUGAGAGGUUUAUCCCCCACACUGGUACUGAGACACGGACCAGACUCCUACGGGAGGCAGCAGUGAGGAAUAUUGGUCAAUGGGCGCGAGCCUGAACCAGCCGAGUCGCGUGAAGGAUGACUGUCUUAUGGAUUGUAAACUUCUUUUAUACGGGAAUAACAAGAGUCACGUGUGACUCCCUGCAUGUACCGUAUGAAUAAGCAUCGGCUAACUCCGUG